ACGAGGGUGACAGGUGGUGCAUGGUUGUCGUCAGCUCGUGUCGUGAGAUGUUGGUUAAGUCCCGCAACGAGCGCAACCCUCGACCUUAGUUGCCAGCAUUCAGUUGGGCACUCUAAGGUGACUGCCGGCUAAAAGUCGGAGGAAGGUGGGGAUGACGUCAAAUCAUCAUGCCCCUUAUGACCUGGGCUACACACGUGCUACAAUGGGCGGUACAAAGGGUCGCGAACCCGCGAGGGGGAGCCAAUCCCAAAAAGCCGCUCUCAGUUCGGAUUGCAGGCUGCAACUCGCCUGCAUGAAGCCGGAAUCGCUAGUAAUCGCGGAUCAGCAUGCCGCGGUGAAUACGUUCCCGGGCCUU
RNAcentral lists this ribosomal RNA (355 nucleotides) under uncultured Anoxybacillus sp. Its description in RNAcentral is "bacterial SSU rRNA". It matches the Rfam family "Bacterial small subunit ribosomal RNA", at positions 1025 to 1382 of the family's 1533-position model. The record is from RNAcentral. Lineage: Bacteria; Bacillati; Bacillota; Bacilli; Caryophanales; Anoxybacillaceae.